Salvelinus namaycush (lake trout) is the source of this 598-nucleotide long non-coding RNA. RefSeq lists it as uncharacterized. The record is from RefSeq and is a predicted model, not a curated record. The transcript is spliced from 3 exons. Lineage: Eukaryota; Metazoa; Chordata; Actinopteri; Salmoniformes; Salmonidae.
GGAAUAUUUUUGAUAGGUGAAGAUUAUGUUCUCACUAACAAAAAAACGUGGAACAGAUUUUUGCUGCAGUAACAUGGUAGCUAGAUAUAGUCACAAAAAUUAUUUGGACGAUAAACCGCUUGGGCAAACCGGGUGAUGUAGCCAGGGGCCUGGCUGUCAGAGGGCAAGCCAGACCAGUCAGAACAUGACAAAGACCGUACCUGGAAUAAGCCCCCCCCCCCCCACGUCUGUUCAAUGGCAUCAGGUUGGCAAUGUGGCGAGUAAUGGGGAGCUAACGCAGAAUGCAUCAUUGAAAGGCAGCCACUCUGUCUAGCUGUGUGACCAGCGAGACAUCCCCCUGAUAUUUCUAUAGAACACCGUUCCAACGCCAGAGCGGGCCCUUUUCCAAACCCAGGCAGAGACCAACAGACUAAAGGCUCAGGGUUCCAUGAUGUCUGCUGUGGCAUGUCUCUGUUCCAAAAAUCACUGUCGCCAUGGCCCUGACAGUUAUGCUAUGGUUUGUCCAAUAGUGCCAGUAGUAGUCACUAUGAAAAUCUGCCUUGUGCCUACACAUCAAUUCCUUUAUAUAUUGAAAAUACUAACUAAACUGGUCCCUGUC